Molecule: unclassified non-coding RNA, 359 nt
Filed under: uncultured Fellomyces
Lineage: Eukaryota; Fungi; Basidiomycota; Tremellomycetes; Tremellales; Cuniculitremaceae
Description: sequence contains ITS1
Rfam family: 5.8S ribosomal RNA (bases 1-96)
Source: RNAcentral
GAAAUGCGAUAAGUAAUGUGAAUUGCAGAAUUCCGUGAAUCAUCGAAUCUUUGAACGCAACUUGCGCCUCUCUGAGGCAUGACUGUUUGAGGGCCGCAAACCCGAUGUAUGCGAGUAGGUUGUGCUACAGCGCAACGCUUGCUUGCAUGCGUGUUGACGGCAGUGCGGGCUCGCCCGGACUCUGUCCAAAGAUAGCCAGUUGGCCGCUACUGCGUCCAGUCCGAGUGCUAAGCAUUCUUGGGUGGGAUACAGCAGCGAGCAAGGGAUGGGAAUGGGUAUGGGUAUGGUUUCAUCCAUCUCGUUCAUCCCAUCCCUCUUCCACCGGCCUCAAAUCAGUCAGGACUACCCGCUGAACUUAA